CUAUGAAAUGUAUGUAAGUCGCUCUGGAUAAGAGCAUCUGCUAAAUGACAAAAA
Salmo salar (Atlantic salmon) is the source of this 54-nucleotide non-coding RNA. The record is from Rfam. Lineage: Eukaryota; Metazoa; Chordata; Actinopteri; Salmoniformes; Salmonidae.